GCAAGUCGAGCGAACGGACGAGAAGCUUGCUUCUCUGAUGUUAGCGGCGGACGGGUGAGUAACACGUGGAUAACCUACCUAUAAGACUGGGAUAACUUCGGGAAACCGGAGCUAAUACCGGAUAAUAUUUUGAACCGCAUGGUUCAAAAGUGAAAGACGGUCUUGCUGUCACUUAUAGAUGGAUCCGCGCUGCAUUAGCUAGUUGGUAAGGUAACGGCUUACCAAGGCAACGAUGCAUAGCCGACCUGAGAGGGUGAUCGGCCACACUGGAACUGAGACACGGUCCAGACUCCUACGGGAGGCAGCAGUAGGGAAUCUUCCGCAAUGGGCGAAAGCCUGACGGAGCAACGCCGCGUGAGUGAUGAAGGUCUUCGGAUCGUAAAACUCUGUUAUUAGGGAAGAACAUAUGUGUAAGUAACUGUGCACAUCUUGACGGUACCUAAUCAGAAAGCCACGGCUAACUACGUGCCAGCAGCCGCGGUAAUACGUAGGUGGCAAGCGUUAUCCGGAAUUAUUGGGCGUAAAGCGCGCGUAGGCGGUUUUUUAAGUCUGAUGUGAAAGCCCACGGCUCAACCGUGGAGGGUCAUUGGAAACUGGAAAACUUGAGUGCAGAAGAGGAAAGUGGAAUUCCAUGUGUAGCGGUGAAAUGCGCAGAGAUAUGGAGGAACACCAGUGGCGAAGGCGACUUUCUGGUCUGUAACUGACGCUGAUGUGCGAAAGCGUGGGGAUCAAACAGGAUUAGAUACCCUGGUAGUCCACGCCGUAAACGAUGAGUGCUAAGUGUUAGGGGGUUUCCGCCCCUUAGUGCUGCAGCUAACGCAUUAAGCACUCCGCCUGGGGAGUACGACCGCAAGGUUGAAACUCAAAGGAAUUGACGGGGACCCGCACAAGCGGUGGAGCAUGUGGUUUAAUUCGAAGCAACGCGAAGAACCUUACCAAAUCUUGACAUCCUUUGACAACUCUAGAGAUAGAGCCUUCCCCUUCGGGGGACAAAGUGACAGGUGGUGCAUGGUUGUCGUCAGCUCGUGUCGUGAGAUGUUGGGUUAAGUCCCGCAACGAGCGCAACCCUUAAGCUUAGUUGCCAUCAUUAAGUUGGGCACUCUAAGUUGACUGCCGGUGACAAACCGGAGGAAGGUGGGGAUGACGUCAAAUCAUCAUGCCCCUUAUGAUUUGGGCUACACACGUGCUACAAUGGACAAUACAAAGGGCAGCGAAACCGCGAGGUCAAGCAAAUCCCAUAAAGUUGUUCUCAGUUCGGAUUGUAGUCUGCAACUCGACUACAUGAAGCUGGAAUCGCUAGUAAUCGUAGAUCAGCAUGCUACGGUGAAUACGUUCCCGGGUCUUGUACACACCGCCCGUCACACCACGAGAGUUUGUAACACCCGAAGCCGGUGGAGUAACCUUUUAGGAGCUAGCCGUCGAAGGU
Molecule: ribosomal RNA, 1426 nt
Filed under: Staphylococcus argenteus
Lineage: Bacteria; Bacillati; Bacillota; Bacilli; Caryophanales; Staphylococcaceae
Description: bacterial SSU rRNA
Rfam family: Bacterial small subunit ribosomal RNA
Source: RNAcentral